Molecule: ribosomal RNA, 243 nt
Filed under: Mastigosporium album
Lineage: Eukaryota; Fungi; Ascomycota; Leotiomycetes; Helotiales
Description: partial 28S ribosomal RNA
Rfam family: Eukaryotic large subunit ribosomal RNA
Source: RNAcentral
GUUGACCUCGGAUCAGGUAGGGAUACCCGCUGAACUUAAGCAUAUCAAUAAGCGGAGGAAAAGAAACCAACAGGGAUUACCUCAGUAACGGCGAGUGAAGCGGUAACAGCUCAAAUUUGAAAGCUGGCUCUUUUAGAGUCCGCGUUGUAAUUUGUAGAAGAUGCUUCGGGUGUGGCCCCGGUCUAAGUUCCUUGGAACAGGACGUCAUAGAGGGUGAGAAUCCCGUAUGUGACUGGGUGCUUU